Long non-coding RNA from Astatotilapia calliptera (eastern happy), 1024 nucleotides. The record is from Ensembl. Lineage: Eukaryota; Metazoa; Chordata; Actinopteri; Cichliformes; Cichlidae.
AGCUGAGCUCAGCAGAUGUGGGUGGGGGUCACCAUUGGGAUUCUGAUCUGCUACGAUGGGUCACUGGAGUCAUACAACUUCUUUAUCUCAAUAAAUCGCAUUCAGUUCUUUCAAGUGAUCUCCUCUUAUUCAAAUUCUUUCACUAGACCCACAAAGGAUUCCUUAACCUAGUUUCAACAGUUCCUUCCUACAGUUUCAUAGCUCACAUCCAUCCAUGCUAUAUGUGCUAUAUAAAUGUAAAAUGUAAUCUUUAGAAGGAGACAUGUGCAUUAAUAUUAUUAUGGUAUGUGCACACAUCAGUUAAACAUGGGGUAGUUGGUUGCAUGCCUGUUGUCCACAAGAGUCCAUAGUCUGGGUGAAAUACUGUAGAGGCCUUGUGAACAACAGGCUUGUUGACCUGCUUGCUGUCUUUCACUGGUCAAAGACCACGUCUACCUGUUCUCUUUACAUCAUGCUAAGUUAGAGGUGUUUAUAAUUAAUCAUAAAUGUGUAACUGUUGCUUUUUAAGAAAGAAAGAACUACUUAGCCCUGUUUGCUUUGACCUUACAACCGAGUGCUUUUUUUGUUUUAUUAUUUUUAAAUUUUUUUAUUAUUUUUGGUGUCUGUCUGAAAUCCCAGUGAUUUUUGAUUAGUAUUUAUCCAGCAACCUCCAAAAUAUCCUAAAAUGUUGUGUGUUCAUGUACCUAACCUGAUGUUGACGGUUGUUUCAGUUUUGCUCCAUAAAGCUGCAAACUUGGAUAUUUAAUCAUGCACAACAUGAAGGUCAAAUUUUCUUUCUUAUGACUCUAUUAGCUUUAGUGUGUGUAUAAAGAAACACAAAGAGCUAAGAGACCGAGAAAAGAUAUUUAACCAUCAUGUUUCAUCAUGUUUCUUCAUCAAGCAUCUGCUAGUAAUGAAUCAUACCCCAUUGAGUGGCAGUGCCCAGUGACAGCACGUCAUUACUGGGCGGGUCAUACAGUCUACGAGUGCUUAAACACAUGAUUGGAACAGCAGCCAGUUUGAACCUUGUCCAUACAUGUAAGAC